Ornithorhynchus anatinus (platypus) is the source of this 666-nucleotide long non-coding RNA. RefSeq lists it as uncharacterized. The transcript has 5 exons. NCBI's taxonomy places the organism in Eukaryota, Metazoa, Chordata, Mammalia, Monotremata, Ornithorhynchidae. The record is from RefSeq and is a predicted model, not a curated record.
AGAUUAGGAGUCUUUGCAGAACUUCUGGAAAGUAAUUUAGAAUUCCUUUAAAUGCUAUGUAUUGCAGUGUUCUCAACAUCAUGGAACGAUGGUUUAAUCUCUAUUAAAAUGACUCCAAAAAACUGAAAAAAAUCCAAGAAUGACAUCUCAUUAGAAAUGAAGUCAAGUCUAAUCACUCAGGAAUAGCCAAAGUAACCAGAGUGCUACAGAGAGUCAGAUAAUUUACAGUGGUUUUACACAAAAGGUUGACGACAAGUAAUAAUGACAGCAAGAGAAGACAUGGACUAAGGAUGAUCCUAUUUGUUUUCCCAGCUACGUGCGGCACUUGGAAGAGUUCGAUAGAGUUGAUGCAAUUAUCGCUCUGGUCAAAUGUGAACUUUAAAUAUGAUUUUGAUCUACUAUCACAUAAAUGAAUCCAAUACUCUUCAUCGGAGGCACCAAAAAUGCUGGAAUAAAAAAAAAUAAAGGUAUCAAAGUGACUGUCACUCUUUUUCAAGAGAUGAUUGAGUCAGCUGUCAGCCGGCUAAAGGAAUGGAGCGUUCAUAAGACUUUUGAGCUGAAGCUGGGCACUUCAUUGACUGUUUUUUCUCCCACUCUGUGACAGUUUCAUAUCAGGACCUCAGCAGAUCUUUUUUAUGGAUGUUUUAAAGAACUUCAUAUCUUUAA